RNAcentral lists this transfer RNA (73 nucleotides) under Monodopsis sp. MarTras21. RNAcentral describes it as "tRNA-Asp". It matches the Rfam family "tRNA". Rfam says of the family: Transfer RNA (tRNA) molecules are approximately 80 nucleotides in length. Their secondary structure includes four short double-helical elements and three loops (D, anti-codon, and T loops). The record is from RNAcentral. Lineage: Eukaryota; Eustigmatophyceae; Eustigmatales; Monodopsidaceae. RNAcentral also lists the same sequence under 2 other names.
GGGAAAAUAACUCAGUGGUUAGAGUGUUGGCCUGUCACGCCAAAAGUCGCGGGUUCGACUCCCGUUUUUCUCG